RNAcentral lists this ribosomal RNA (497 nucleotides) under uncultured bacterium. Its description in RNAcentral is "partial 16S ribosomal RNA". It matches the Rfam family "Bacterial small subunit ribosomal RNA", at positions 28 to 507 of the family's 1533-position model. The record is from RNAcentral.
GAUGAACGCUGGCGGCGUGCCUAAUACAUGCAAGUCGAGCGAACGGACGAGAAGCUUGCUUCUCUGAUGUUAGCGGCGGACGGGUGUGUAACACGUGGAUAACCUACCUAUCAGACUGGGAUAACUUCGGGAAACCGGAGCUAAUACCGGAUAAUAUUUUGAACCGCAUGGUUCAAUAGUGAAAGACGGUCUUGCUGUCACUUAUAGAUGGAUCCGCGCUGCAUUAGCUAGUUGGUAAGGUAACGGCUUACCAAGGCAACGAUGCAUAGCCGACCUGAGAGGGUGAUCGGCCACACUGGAAGUGAGACACGGUCCAGAGUCCUACGGGAGGCAGCAGUAGGGAAUCUUCCGCAAUGGGCGAAAGCCUGACGGAGCAACGCCGCGUGAGUGAUGAAGGUCUUCGGAUCGUAAAACUCUGUUAUUAGGGAAGAACAUAUGUGUAAGUAACUGUGCACAUCUUGACGGUACCUAAUCAGAAAGCCACGGCUAACUACGUG